AUUGUUUCUCCUGGCAGCUGUCUGUACCAGUACAUCUGGAAGUACUGAGCACCCUUGGUGUGGCUGCAGUUCAUUGUUGCACUGUCCUCCUGUUGUUUCCAAAGUAUGGAGGUCUAGGUGACAU
This is a long non-coding RNA of Sander lucioperca (pikeperch), 124 nucleotides long. RefSeq lists it as uncharacterized. The record is from RefSeq and is a predicted model, not a curated record. The transcript has 3 exons. NCBI's taxonomy places the organism in Eukaryota, Metazoa, Chordata, Actinopteri, Perciformes, Percidae.